UGCAACAUUCGGUCAUGUGAUACUCUCCAUCACAAAGGGGGAGUAUAAUUGCAUGUCCGAAUUUCUAAAAAUCUGUGGAAGUUUUGAGGGGAGCCAGUCAGCCCUCUUCUUUUUCAAUUCGAAGGGUGGGGUGUUCAAGGGCCUCCUCAAAGCUUUCACUGCUGCAUGGGAGUUUGUGGGCCUCCCAAAACCGGCCCCAACUUUCAUGGCCUUGAGGAACUCUAUGUCCACUCAGAAAACCUUUUGGAUCCAGCUGCCCAUGCUGAGUUUGUGAGGGCCACUUCGGAGGUGCUUCCCAAAAUACUGCAAAAACUACAUCAUGAUCAGAGGCAGCUGGACCUGUUCUUUGGCCUCCUCGGUGCGGUCAUGAUUGUAACCUCUGGU
This is a long non-coding RNA of Carassius auratus (goldfish), 384 nucleotides long. RefSeq lists it as uncharacterized. The record is from RefSeq and is a predicted model, not a curated record. Lineage: Eukaryota; Metazoa; Chordata; Actinopteri; Cypriniformes; Cyprinidae. The transcript is spliced from 3 exons.